GAUUAAAUUUUAUUUAUUAAUUUUUAAUGAUUUUAUUUUAUUUUAUUAAAAAUAUUUAUAUAUUUUGUUGUUUUAUUAUUUUAAAAGAAAAAAUAAUUUUAGUUAUAGUUUAUUGGUAUUGUGAAAGAUAAUUGAAAUAUUUUGAAAAAUUAUUGGGGUAAUAGAAAAUUUAAUUUAUUGUACCUUGUGUAUCAGGGUUUAUUUAAUAAAAUUUAUUUUUAAUAAUUUUCUCGAUUUUAAAAGAGUUAAUAAAUUAUUUAAUUUAAUGUAAUAAAAUUAUUUAGAAUAAUUUAUUAGAAAUGAAAUGUUAUUCGUUUUUAAAGGUAUCUAGUUCUUUAAGAAAUAAAUUUAAUUUAGAUAUUUUUUAUUAAUUGAUUAAUUAUAUAAAUUAAUUAAAUGAUUAAUUUUAAUAUUUUAUGGGAUAAGCUAUAGAAUAGAUAAUUAAAUUUUUUUGUUUUUAAUUAAUAAAUAUAUGCUUAGAAAUAGCUAUUAUUGAUGAGUUUGUUACAAUUUAUUGUGAAUUUUAUAUUAUUUAAUAGUUUUUAAUUUUUUAUUAAAGUAUUUAUUUAAAUUAAAAAAAUAAUUUAUUAAUGAUAAAAUUAGUAUAUAUUUAUAUUUAUGUAUAUAUGAUUUAUAAUAUAAGUUUUUAUAAAGAAUUCGGCAAAAUUUUUAUUCGCCUGUUUAACAAAAACAUGUCUUUUUGAUUUUUAUUUAAAGUCUGACCUGCCCACUGAAUAUUAAAUGGCCGCAGUAUUUUAACUGUGCAAAGGUAGCAUAAUCAUUAGUUUUUUAAUUGAAGGCUGGUAUGAAUGGUUGGACGAGAUAUAAGCUGUUUCAUAAAAAUUUUAUUAGAAAUUUAUUUUUUAGUUAAAAAGCUAAAAUAAUUUUAAAAGACGAGAAGACCCUAUAAAUCUUUAUAUAAUUAAUUAUUUUUAUUAUCAAAUUAUGUAAUAAUAAUUAAUUAUAUUUUAUUGGGGUGAUAUUAAAAUUUAAAUAACUUUUAAUUUUUAGAGCAUUGAUUUAUGAAUUUUUGAUCAUGUAUUAUUGAUUAGUAGAAUAAGUUACUUUAGGGAUAACAGCGUAAUUUUUUUGGAGAGUUCAUAUUAAUAGGAAAGAUUGCGACCUCGAUGUUGGAUUAAGAUAUAUAUUUAGGUGUAGAUGCUUAAUUAUUGAGUCUGUUCGACUUUUAAAUUCUUACAUGAUCUGAGUUCAAACCGGUGUAAGCCAGGUUGGUUUCUAUCUUUAAAAAGGUAAAAUAUUUUAGUACGAAAGGAUUAAAUAUUGAAUAAAUGAUUAUUUUUAAAAUUGAAUAUAAUUAAUUUAG
RNAcentral lists this ribosomal RNA (1324 nucleotides) under Halidaya aurea. RNAcentral's name for it is "16S ribosomal RNA". Lineage: Eukaryota; Metazoa; Arthropoda; Insecta; Diptera; Tachinidae. The record is from RNAcentral.